UUUCUGGUGACAGAGUUGUCCUGCCUAUUGUGGAGAAAAAAGAAUGGGAAAUCUGGGAGGCAAGAUCGUUGCCUUACUGCUGGCCAUCUCCACAGUUGUAUCAGGUCAACCUACUGUCACCCAGGAUCACCAAUUUCUUUCAGUUAAGGAAGGAGACUCCAUCCAGCUGAACUGCUCCUAUCAGGAAACAGGAUACUCUCUUCAGUGGUAUAAGCAAUAUCCAGGAGACCGGCCAGAAUUCAUGAUGUUCCUGAUUACAUCGGGGACCGAAGAAAAGGAUCAUUUUGAAAUGAUUCUGGAGGCAGAUAAGAAGAUGACUUCUUUGCAUCUGAAGAACACUCAGCUUAAGGAUUCAGUUGUCUAUUUCUGUGCAUGGAGCACAGUGCUAGAAAGAUACCCGCUGGUUGUCAUCAAAGAUGUAGGGCAAGCAAGGAGAAGAUGUGUAUUUGCCCUCUGAAGAAAGAUCAGGAGAA
Crotalus tigris (Tiger rattlesnake) is the source of this 473-nucleotide non-coding RNA. Lineage: Eukaryota; Metazoa; Chordata; Lepidosauria; Squamata; Viperidae. The record is from the annotation of a RefSeq genome assembly.